This is a long non-coding RNA of Quercus robur (English oak), 499 nucleotides long. RefSeq lists it as uncharacterized. The record is from RefSeq and is a predicted model, not a curated record. The transcript has 2 exons. Lineage: Eukaryota; Viridiplantae; Streptophyta; Magnoliopsida; Fagales; Fagaceae.
AGAAAGCUAUGAGUAAUGGACAUAGACAUGAGUUAUUAAAACACUAAACAAUUGUAUCUUUUUGGUGGUUUGCUAUUGUACUUGCUACAUGCAAUGAGAAUUACUAUAGUUCACAAUCGAAUGAGUUUUACCAUAGUUAACAAAUGAGUUUCUUUUGGAACAUCUGACUCCUCCUGCCAACAGUUUGAAGCCAUGUCAUAUCAUGUACAACAAUGAAGAUGACAAUGGGAGAGAUAUUUUCCAAAGAUUAUAUUGAAAUUUUAUUGUUUAAUAGAUUGUGCUGAUUUUUUUUUCGACCCAAUUCUUUUUAUGUAAAUAAUUAUAUUAGAGGGUACUUGUGUCUGUUUUGUAUUCUAUAUUUGAUUGAAUUGUAGUUUAGAUGAAUCUUUGGGUUUGGAACAGGAUAUGGAGUUCAUACAUAACCCAUUUUGGUCCUUAAUUGUAUUGUGGAAAAAUUUAUUGCAGAGAGAUGAUUAGAGUCAAAAUAAUUAUGCUGCUA